UACGUAGGUCCCGAGCGUUGUCCGGAUUUAUUGGGCGUAAAGCGAGCGCAGGUGGUUUAUUAAGUCUGGUGUAAAAGGCAGUGGCUCAACCAUUGUAUGCAUUGGAAACUGGUAGACUUGAGUGCAGGAGAGGAGAGUGGAAUUCCAUGUGUAGCGGUGAGAUGCGUAGAUAUAUGGAGGAACACCGGUGGCGAAAGCGGCUCUCUGGCCUGUAAAUGACGCUGAGGCUCGAAAGCGUGGGGAGCAAACAGG
Molecule: ribosomal RNA, 252 nt
Filed under: uncultured bacterium
Lineage: Bacteria
Description: partial 16S ribosomal RNA
Rfam family: Bacterial small subunit ribosomal RNA
Source: RNAcentral